AAGACUAAACUUUCAGGGAUCAUUUCUAUAGUUGUCAAUCAGAACACCACGUCCUACACCUUGCAAACAGGUCAAAAUGCAAUGUU
Small nucleolar RNA from Ochotona princeps (American pika), 86 nucleotides. Its record names the gene U3. It matches the Rfam family "Small nucleolar RNA U3". From Rfam's summary of the family: Small nucleolar RNAs (snoRNAs) are involved in the processing and modification of rRNA in the nucleolus. Lineage: Eukaryota; Metazoa; Chordata; Mammalia; Lagomorpha; Ochotonidae. The record is from Ensembl.